AAUGGGCGCAAGCCUGAUCCAGCAAUGCCGCGUGCAGGACGAAGGCCUUCGGGUUGUAAACUGCUUUUGUACGGAGCGAAAAGGCUCUCUCUAAUACAGGGGGUUCAUGACGGUACCGUAAGAAUAAGCACCGGCUAACUACGUGCCAGCAGCCGCGGUAAUACGUAGGGUGCAAGCGUUAAUCGGAAUUACUGGGCGUAAAGCGUGCGCAGGCGGUUAUGUAAGACAGAGGUGAAAUCCCCGGGCUCAACCUGGGAACUGCCUUUGUGACUGCAUAGCUAGAGUACGGCAGAGGGGGAUGGAAUUCCGCGUGUAGCAGUGAAAUGCGUAGAUAUGCGGAGGAACACCGAUGGCGAAGGCAAUCCCCUGGGCCUGUACUGACGCUCAUGCACGAAAGCGUGGGGAGCAAA
Molecule: ribosomal RNA, 410 nt
Filed under: uncultured bacterium
Lineage: Bacteria
Description: bacterial SSU rRNA
Rfam family: Bacterial small subunit ribosomal RNA
Source: RNAcentral